GCAAGUAAAACCUUGCGAAAGCCACAACUCUUUUGCUCGUCUGACUUGAACGUAUCUUAAUUUUUCUCUGCUUGUGUAAGGUGUAUUUCUGCAGUCGCCAUAUUGUGUCCGUUUUUCAAUUAAUAAAAGAAUAAAGAGCUUUACUGUAUAUCCUUGGAUCUAUGCAAUGAUGAGUUUAAUGAUAUGGUGGUUAUUGUGGCUGUUAUUUGGUCAAGGAUUCACAAUGAAAAUGGGUUGGAAUGAAGAGCUUGAGUUUUGUGAGGAAGAAUGGAAGAAAUUUGUGGCGGACAAAUCUGAAAUCGAUUCGAAAUGCGACAAUACUCGUACACGUUGUUGUGUUGAGGAGAAGAAAUAUCUUUUGGAGCGAUUUAAAAUGUUUAGUGAAAUAUGUCCACUCGAAGGGACAUGUGGAUGCAGCCCGACUAUUUUGAACGUUACUGCUGUGUCACACGUUCGUCUUUAUCCACAUGAAUUAUAC
Xenia sp. Carnegie-2017 is the source of this 478-nucleotide long non-coding RNA. RefSeq lists it as uncharacterized. NCBI's taxonomy places the organism in Eukaryota, Metazoa, Cnidaria, Anthozoa, Malacalcyonacea, Xeniidae. The transcript is spliced from 3 exons. The record is from RefSeq and is a predicted model, not a curated record.